UAAUACGGAGGGUGCAAGCGUUAAUCGGAAUUACUGGGCGUAAAGCGCGCGUAGGCGGCUAUAUAAGUCGGAUGUGAAAGCCCUGGGCUCAACCUGGGAACUGCAUUCGAUACUGUAUAGCUAGAGUUUGGUAGAGGGAAGUGGAAUUCCACAUGUAGCGGUGAAAUGCGUAGAUAUGUGGAGGAACACCAGUGGCGAAGGCGACUUCCUGGACCAAAACUGACGCUGAGGUGCGAAAGCGUGGGUAGCAAACAGGAUUAGAUACCCUGGUAGUCCACGCCGUAAACGAUGUCAACUAGCCGUUGGGGGAAUUUGUCCCUUAGUGGCGCAGCUAACGCGAUAGGUUGACCGCCUGGGGAGUACGGUCGCAAGAUUA
RNAcentral lists this ribosomal RNA (376 nucleotides) under uncultured Gammaproteobacteria bacterium. Its description in RNAcentral is "bacterial SSU rRNA". It matches the Rfam family "Bacterial small subunit ribosomal RNA", at positions 521 to 896 of the family's 1533-position model. The record is from RNAcentral. Lineage: Bacteria; Pseudomonadati; Pseudomonadota; Gammaproteobacteria.